This 833-nucleotide ribosomal RNA is filed under the name uncultured bacterium. Its description in RNAcentral is "bacterial SSU rRNA". It matches the Rfam family "Bacterial small subunit ribosomal RNA", at positions 97 to 944 of the family's 1533-position model. The record is from RNAcentral.
GGCGAACGGGUGAGUAACACGUGAGCAACCUGCCCCUAACUCUGGGAUAACGCUUCGAAAGGAGUGCUAAUACCGGAUACCAGCACGGAGGACAUCCUAUGUGCUUGAAAGUUUUUCGGUUAGGGAUGGGCUCGCGGCCUAUCAGCUUGUUGGUGAGGUAAAGGCUCACCAAGGCGACGACGGGUAGCCGGCCUGAGAGGGUGACCGGCCACACUGGAACUGAGAUACGGUCCAGACUCCUACGGGAGGCAGCAGUGGGGAAUAUUGCACAAUGGGCGAAAGCCUGAUGCAGCAACGCCGCGUGAGGGAUGAAGGCCUUCGGGUUGUAAACCUCUUUCAGCAGGGACGAAGCGAAAGUGACGGUACCUGCAGAAAAAGCACCGGCUAACUACGUGCCAGCAGCCGCGGUAAUACGUAGGGUGCAAGCGUUGUCCGGAAUUAUUGGGCGUAAAGAGCUCGUAGGCGGUUUGUCGCGUCUGCUGUGAAAAUCCAAGGCUCAACCUUGGACCUGCAGUGGGUACGGGCAGACUAGAGUGCGGUAGGGGAGAUGGGAAUUCCUGGUGUAGCGGUGGAAUGCGCAGAUAUCAGGAGGAACACCAAUGGCGAAGGCACAUCUCUGGGCCGUAACUGACGCUGAGGAGCGAAAGCGUGGGGAGCGAACAGGAUUAGAUACCCUGGUAGUCCACGCCGUAAACGGUGGGUGCUAGUUGUGGGCCACAUUCCACGUGGUCCGUGACGAAGUUAACACAUUAAGCACCCCGCCUGGGGAGUACGGGUCGCAAGACUAAAACUCAAAGGAAUUGACGGGGCCCGCACAAGCGGCGAGCAUGCCG